Molecule: ribosomal RNA, 1343 nt
Filed under: uncultured bacterium
Lineage: Bacteria
Description: bacterial SSU rRNA
Rfam family: Bacterial small subunit ribosomal RNA
Source: RNAcentral
GACGAACGCUGGCGGCGUGCUUAACACAUGCAAGUCGAACGAUGAUGCCCAGCUUGCUGGGUGGAUUAGUGGCGAACGGGUGAGUAACACGUGAGUAACCUGCCCCUGACUCUGGGAUAAGCGUUGGAAACGACGUCUAAUACUGGAUAUGACUGCCGGCCGCAUGGUCUGGUGGUGGAAAGAUUUUUUGGUUGGGGAUGGACUCGCGGCCUAUCAGCUUGUUGGUGAGGUAAUGGCUCACCAAGGCGACGACGGGUAGCCGGCCUGAGAGGGUGACCGGCCACACUGGGACUGAGACACGGCCCAGACUCCUACGGGAGGCAGCAGUGGGGAAUAUUGCACAAUGGGCGAAAGCCUGAUGCAGCAACGCCGCGUGAGGGAUGACGGCCUUCGGGUUGUAAACCUCUUUUAGUAGGGAAGAAGCGAAAGUGACGGUACCUGCAGAAAAAGCACCGGCUAACUACGUGCCAGCAGCCGCGGUAAUACGUAGGGUGCAAGCGUUGUCCGGAAUUAUUGGGCGUAAAGAGCUCGUAGGCGGUCUGUCGCGUCUGCUGUGAAAUCCCGAGGCUCAACCUCGGGCUUGCAGUGGGUACGGGCAGACUAGAGUGCGGUAGGGGAGAUUGGAAUUCCUGGUGUAGCGGUGGAAUGCGCAGAUAUCAGGAGGAACACCGAUGGGCGAAGGCAGAUCUCUGGGCCGUAACUGACGCUGAGGAGCGAAAGCAUGGGGAGCGAACAGGAUUAGAUACCCUGGUAGUCCAUGCCGUAAACGUUGGGCGCUAGAUGUAGGGACCUUUCCACGGUUUCUGUGUCGUAGCUAACGCAUUAAGCGCCCCGCCUGGGGAGUACGGCCGCAAGGCUAAAACUCAAAGGAAUUGACGGGGGCCCGCACAAGCGGCGGAGCAUGCGGAUUAAUUCGAUGCAACGCGAAGAACCUUACCAAGGCUUGACAUACACCGGAAACGGCCAGAGAUGGUCGCCCCCUUGUGGUCGGUGUACAGGUGGUGCAUGGUUGUCGUCAGCUCGUGUCGUGAGAUGUUGGGUUAAGUCCCGCAACGAGCGCAACCCUCGUUCUAUGUUGCCAGCGCGUUAUGGCGGGGACUCAUAGGAGACUGCCGGGGUCAACUCGGAGGAAGGUGGGGAUGACGUCAAAUCAUCAUGCCCCUUAUGUCUUGGGCUUCACGCAUGCUACAAUAGCCGGUACAAAGGGCUGCGAUACCGUAAGGUGGAGCGAAUCCCAAAAAGCCGGUCUCAGUUCGGAUUGAGGUCUGCAACUCGACCUCAUGAAGUCGGAGUCGCUAGUAAUCGCAGAUCAGCAACGCUGCGGUGAAUACGUUCCCGGGCCU